GGAUAAUUUUGCGAUUGAUGGGGUCAUUUAAGUUUAUGUUAAGGGCCCAUAGCUCAGGCGGUUAGAGUGCACCCCUGAUAAGGGUGAGGUCGGUAGUUCGAAUCUACCUGGGCCCACCAUUCAAUCAGGCAAGGGGCCGUAGCUCAGCUGGGAGAGCGCCUGCUUUGCAAGCAGGAUGUCAGCGGUUCGAUCCCGCUCGGCUCCACCAAUUGCGAAUUUAUAGUUUUUUUGUUCUAGGGAUUUUUUUUUAGAGCGAUAGUUUUUUGAAAAUUGAAUAGAAGGUAGAUUUUUUUGUAUUUUUUAUAUUGGCAUUGUAUGCGA
RNAcentral lists this transfer RNA (321 nucleotides) under Candidatus Liberibacter solanacearum. RNAcentral describes it as "partial contains 16S ribosomal RNA and 16S-23S ribosomal RNA intergenic spacer". The stretch from base 43 to 116 matches the Rfam family "tRNA". The record is from RNAcentral. Lineage: Bacteria; Pseudomonadati; Pseudomonadota; Alphaproteobacteria; Hyphomicrobiales; Rhizobiaceae.